GUUGCAGCUCAAUGGUAGAGCACUUGCCUAGCAUGGGUGAGGCACUGAGUUCAAUCCUCAGCACCACA
RNAcentral lists this transfer RNA (68 nucleotides) under Marmota monax (woodchuck). Its description in RNAcentral is "tRNA.Ala". Lineage: Eukaryota; Metazoa; Chordata; Mammalia; Rodentia; Sciuridae. The record is from RNAcentral.